CGGGGCGUGGCGCAGCCUGGUAGCGCACUUGCAUGGGGUGCAAGGGGUCGAGUGUUCGAAUCACUCCGUCCCGACCA
Molecule: transfer RNA, 77 nt
Filed under: Stutzerimonas stutzeri
Lineage: Bacteria; Pseudomonadati; Pseudomonadota; Gammaproteobacteria; Pseudomonadales; Pseudomonadaceae
Also listed under: 2 other names
Description: Pseudomonas stutzeri tRNA-Pro
Rfam family: tRNA
About the family: Transfer RNA (tRNA) molecules are approximately 80 nucleotides in length. Their secondary structure includes four short double-helical elements and three loops (D, anti-codon, and T loops).
Source: RNAcentral